GUCAGCGGAAAGGAAAGAAGAUCAAUGGAUGGAUUGUAGGUCCUGGUGAAGGGAUGAAUUGCUGGAUUCAGUGCACUAAAGGGAAUGAACUGGAAAGACAGGAGGUAAUGGUAGAAGAGUGGAAUGUUUUGAGAUUGGGAUAUGGAGCAGUUGUAAGUCUAGAAUAUAACCAAGGGAAUGAGUGGGUAAAGAAGGGGCAGA
This is a non-coding RNA of Ceratotherium simum simum (southern white rhinoceros), 201 nucleotides long. NCBI's taxonomy places the organism in Eukaryota, Metazoa, Chordata, Mammalia, Perissodactyla, Rhinocerotidae. The record is from RefSeq and is a predicted model, not a curated record.